Non-coding RNA from Acanthosepion pharaonis, 95 nucleotides. NCBI's taxonomy places the organism in Eukaryota, Metazoa, Mollusca, Cephalopoda, Sepiida, Sepiidae. The record is from the annotation of a GenBank genome assembly.
UUUAAACACCGGUUCCCGUAAGAUCACUGAAGUUAAACAACGUUGAACAUGGCCAGUACCUAGAUAGGUGACCGCUUGGAAAUACCAGGUGUCAU